This 440-nucleotide ribosomal RNA is filed under the name Staphylococcus aureus. Its description in RNAcentral is "partial 23S ribosomal RNA". It matches the Rfam family "Bacterial large subunit ribosomal RNA", at positions 1585 to 2026 of the family's 2925-position model. Lineage: Bacteria; Bacillati; Bacillota; Bacilli; Caryophanales; Staphylococcaceae. The record is from RNAcentral.
UUCGAGUCGUUGAUUUCACACUGCCGAGAAAAGCCUCUAGAUAGAAAAUAGGUGCCCGUACCGCAAACCGACACAGGUAGUCAAGAUGAGAAUUCUAAGGUGAGCGAGCGAACUCUCGUUAAGGAACUCGGCAAAAUGACCCCGUAACUUCGGGAGAAGGGGUGCUCUUUAGGGUUAACGCCCAGAAGAGCCGCAGUGAAUAGGCCCAAGCGACUGUUUAUCAAAAACACAGGUCUCUGCUAAACCGUAAGGUGAUGUAUAGGGGCUGACGCCUGCCCGGUGCUGGAAGGUUAAGAGGAGUGGUUAGCUUCUGCGAAGCUACGAAUCGAAGCCCCAGUAAACGGCGGCCGUAACUAUAACGGUCCUAAGGUAGCGAAAUUCCUUGUCGGGUAAGUUCCGACCCGCACGAAAGGCGUAACGAUUUGGGCACUGUCUCAACG